RNAcentral lists this ribosomal RNA (464 nucleotides) under uncultured bacterium. Its description in RNAcentral is "partial 16S ribosomal RNA". It matches the Rfam family "Bacterial small subunit ribosomal RNA", at positions 29 to 507 of the family's 1533-position model. The record is from RNAcentral.
ACGAACGCUGGCGGCGUGCUUAACACCUGCAAGUCGAACGGAAAGGCCCUGCUUGCAGGGUACUCGAGUGGCGAACGGGUGAGUAACACGUGGGUGAUCUGCCCUGCACUUCGGGAUAAGCCUGGGAAACUGGGUCUAAUACCGGAUAGGAGCCAUUUUUAGUGUGAUGGUUGGAAAGUUUUUUCGGUGUAGGAUGAGCUCGCGGCCUAUCAGCUUGUUGGUGGGGUAAUGGCCUACCAAGGCGGCGACGGGUAGCCGGCCUGGGAGGGUGGACGGCCACAUUGGGACUGAGAUACGGCCCAGACUCCUACGGGAGGCAGCAGUGGGGAAUAUUGCACAAUGGGCGCAAGCCUGAUGCAGCGACGCCGCGUGGGGGAUGACGGCCUUCGGGUUGUAAACUCCUUUCGCUAGGGACGAAGCUUUUUGUGACGGUACCUAGAUAAGAAGCACCGGCUAACUACGUG